CCUACGGGUGGCUGCAGUCGAGGAUCUUCGGCAAUGGGCGCAAGCCUGACCGAGCGACGCCGCGUGUGCGAUGAAGGCCUUCGGGUUGUAAAGCACUGUCGAGGGGGAGGAAGCUCCGAAAGGAGUUGACCUAUCCCUGGAGGAAGCACGGGCUAAGUUCGUGCCAGCAGCCGCGGUAAGACGAACCGUGCGAACGUUGUUCGGAAUCACUGGGCUUAAAGGGCGCGUAGGCGGAUCAGCAAGUCCGGGGUGAAAUCUUUCGGCUUAACCGGAAAAGUGCCUUGGAUACUGCUGGUCUCGAGGGAGGUAGGGGUCAUUGGAACUUCUGGUGGAGCGGUGAAAUGCGUUGAUAUCAGAAGGAACGCCUGUGGCGAAAGCGAAUGACUGGAUCUCUUCUGACGCUGAGGCGCGAAAGCUAGGGGAGCGAACGGGAUUAGAUA
RNAcentral lists this ribosomal RNA (440 nucleotides) under uncultured bacterium. Its description in RNAcentral is "bacterial SSU rRNA". It matches the Rfam family "Bacterial small subunit ribosomal RNA", at positions 338 to 784 of the family's 1533-position model. The record is from RNAcentral.